CUCAUUACAACAGGUAUAAUAUACCAGUUGGUUAAAGCUAAACGGAUAACUGCGGUAAUUCUGGAGCUAAUACGUGCGGAAAACCUGAUUCCUUCGGAGUCGGGUGCAUUUAUUGGUGCAAAAUCAGUCUCUGAAAAUUUGCUUAAUCUGGAUAACCCAGCAUAUCGCAUGGCCUUGUGCCGGCGAAGUUUCUGUCUAGUAUCUGUCUUAUCAAUUGUCGUUGGUGCUGUAUUGGAGUACCACGGUAUUAACGAGUAACGGAGAAUCAGGGUUUGACUCCGGAGAGGGAGCCUUAGAGACGGCUACCAUGUCUAAGGAUAGCAGCAGGCGCGAAAAUUACCCAAUGACAAAACGCCGAGGUAGUGACAAGACAUAACAAGGCCGUUCUCUAUGAGGUCGGUUAUUGGAAUGAGUAAAAUCCAGACACUUUAACGAGUAUCUACGAGAGGGCAAGUCUGGUGCCAGCAGCCGCGGUAAUUCCAGCUCUCGUAAGGUAUAGAAUUAUUGCUGUGUUUAAAAAGUUCGUAGUUGGAUUGUCAAGUUGGCGCGGGUCUGACGUUCGCGUCAGUUCUCGUCGCCUUCUUUUUGUACGUUCUUGUGCGGUUGGCUUCGGUCGGCCGUGCUCCGUACAGGAUUACUUUGAACGGCUCAGUGCUCAACUCAUGUCUUAUGACUGAAUACCGGUGCAUGGAAUAAUGGAACAAGGCUUCGGCCGGAUGUUUUACUGGUUUUACCGGCUGAAACAAUGGUUAACAGGAACAGUCGGGGGCAUUCGUAUCGUUACGCGAGAGGUGAAAUUCGUGGACCGUAGCGAGACGCCCAAAAGCGAAAG
RNAcentral lists this ribosomal RNA (832 nucleotides) under Cryptaphelenchus sp. SG-2014. RNAcentral's name for it is "bacterial SSU rRNA". It matches the Rfam family "Eukaryotic small subunit ribosomal RNA", at positions 97 to 951 of the family's 1831-position model. The record is from RNAcentral. Lineage: Eukaryota; Metazoa; Nematoda; Chromadorea; Rhabditida; Aphelenchoididae.